RNAcentral lists this ribosomal RNA (175 nucleotides) under uncultured bacterium. RNAcentral's name for it is "partial 16S rRNA". It matches the Rfam family "Bacterial small subunit ribosomal RNA", at positions 338 to 525 of the family's 1533-position model. The record is from RNAcentral.
CCUACGGGAGGCAGCAGUGGGGAAUAUUGCACAAUGGGCGAAAGCCUGAUGCAGCGACGCCGCGUGAGGGAUGACGGCCUUCGGGUUGUAAACCUCUUUCGACAGGGACGAAGCGUGAGUGACGGUACCUGUAGAAGAAGCACCGGCCAACUACGUGCCAGCAGCCGCGGUAAUC